RNAcentral lists this non-coding RNA (23 nucleotides) under Arabidopsis thaliana (thale cress). Lineage: Eukaryota; Viridiplantae; Streptophyta; Magnoliopsida; Brassicales; Brassicaceae. The record is from RNAcentral.
GUCUGGUUUAGUCUCUACUUGCU